AAGGGCUCGCAGGCGGUUUCUUAAGUCUGAUGUGAAAGCCCCCGGCUCAACCGGGGAGGGUCAUUGGAAACUGGGGAACUUGAGUGCAGAAGAGGAGAGUGGAAUUCCACGUGUAGCGGUGAAAUGCGUAGAGAUGUGGAGGAACACCAGUGGCGAAGGCGACUCUCUGGUCUGUAACUGACGCUGAGGAGCGAAAGCGUGGGGAGCGAACAGGAUUAGAUACCCUGGUAGUCCACGCCGUAAACGAUGAGUGCUAAGUGUUAGGGGGUUUCCGCCCCUUAGUGCUGCAGCUAACGCAUUAAGCACUCCGCCUGGGGAGUACGGUCGCAAGACUGAAACUCAAAGGAAUUGACGGGGGCCCGCACAAGCGGUGGAGCAUGUGGUUUAAUUCGAAGCAACGCGAAGAACCUUACCAGGUCUUGACAUCCUCUGACAAUCCUAGAGAUAGGACGUCCCCUUCGGGGGCAGAGUGACAGGUGGUGCAUGGUUGUCGUCAGCUCGUGUCGUGAGAUGUUGGGUUAAGUCCCGCAACGAGCGCAACCCUUGAUCUUAGUUGCCAGCAUUCAGUUGGGCACUCUAAGGUGACUGCCGGUGACAAACCGGAGGAAGGUGGGGAUGACGUCAAAUCAUCAUGCCCCUUAUGACCUGGGCUACACACGUGCUACAAUGGACAGAACAAAGGGCAGCGAAACCGCGAGGUUAAGCCAAUCCCACAAAUCUGUUCUCAGUUCGGAUCGCAGUCUGCAACUCGACUGCGUGAAGCUGGAAUCGCUAGUAAUCGCGGAUCAGCAUGCC
RNAcentral lists this ribosomal RNA (795 nucleotides) under Bacillus subtilis subsp. subtilis. RNAcentral's name for it is "bacterial SSU rRNA". It matches the Rfam family "Bacterial small subunit ribosomal RNA", at positions 563 to 1358 of the family's 1533-position model. The record is from RNAcentral. Lineage: Bacteria; Bacillati; Bacillota; Bacilli; Caryophanales; Bacillaceae.